AGUGGAAUAACUAGGUCAAAUGGUGAUUCCAUUCCUAAUUUUUUGAGGAAUAUCCAUACUGCUUUCCAAAGUAUUUGCACCAGUUUGCAGUCCCAUCAACCAU
RNAcentral lists this microRNA precursor (103 nucleotides) under Marmota monax (woodchuck). The record is from RNAcentral. Lineage: Eukaryota; Metazoa; Chordata; Mammalia; Rodentia; Sciuridae.